This is a non-coding RNA of Pelobates cultripes (western spadefoot toad), 147 nucleotides long. The record is from the annotation of a GenBank genome assembly. Lineage: Eukaryota; Metazoa; Chordata; Amphibia; Anura; Pelobatidae.
UUCAGAUGUCUGCACUAUCAACUUUCAAUGGACUUUCUGCGCCUACCAUGGUGACCACGGGAGAGGGAGCCUGAGAAACAGCUACCAAAUCCAAGGAAGGCAGCAGGCGCGCAAAUUACCCACUCCCGACGCAGGGAGGUAGUGAUG